ACACAGGGGGAGUAACAGUUGGAAACGGCUGCUAAUACCGCAUAAGCGCACAGUACCGCAUGGUACAGUGUGAAAAACUCCGGUGGUGUGAGAUGGACCCGCGUCUGAUUAGCUAGUUGGCAGGGCAACGGCCUACCAAGGCGACGAUCAGUAGCCGACCUGAGAGGGUGACCGGCCACAUUGGGACUGAGACACGGCCCAAACUCCUACGGGAGGCAGCAUG
Molecule: ribosomal RNA, 223 nt
Filed under: uncultured bacterium
Lineage: Bacteria
Description: partial 16S ribosomal RNA
Rfam family: Bacterial small subunit ribosomal RNA
Source: RNAcentral